GCAUAUCAAUAAGCGGAGGAAAAGAAACCAACAGGGAUUGCCCUAGUAACGGCGAGUGAAGCGGCAACAGCUCAAAUUUGAAAUCUGGCUCUUUUAGAGUCCGAGUUGUAAUUUGCAGAGGGCGCUUUGGCGUUGGCAGCGGUCCAAGUUCCUUGGAACAGGAUGUCACAGAGGGUGAGAACCCCGUACGUGGUCGCUGGCCUUCGCCGUGUAAAGCCCCUUCGACGAGUCGAGUUGUUUGGGAAUGCAGCUCUAAAUGGGAGGUAAAUUUCUUCUAAAGCUAAAUACUGGCCAGAGACCGAUAGCGCACAAGUAGAGUGAUCGAAAGAUGAAAAGCACUUUGGAAAGAGAGUCAAAUAGCACGUGAAAUUGUUGAAAGGGAAGCGCUUGCAGCCAGACUUGCCUGUAGUUGCUCAUCCGGGCUUUUGCCCGGUGCACUCUUCUGCGGGCAGGCCAGCAUCAGUUUGGGCGGUUGGAUAAAGGUCUCUGUCAUGUACCUCUCUUCGGGGAGGCCUUAUAGGGGAGACGACAUGCAACCAGCCUGGACUGAGGUCCGCGCAUUUGCUAGGAUGCUGGCGUAAUGGCUGUAAGCGGCCCGUCUUGAAACACGGACCAAGGAGUCUAACAUCUAUGCGAGUGUUUGGGUGUCAAGCCCGAACGCGUAAUGAAAGUGAACGGAGGUGGGAACCCUUUUAGGGCGCACCAUCGACCGAUCCUGAUGUCUUCGGAAGGAUUUGAGUAAGAGCAUGGCUGUUGGGACCCGAAAGAUGGUGAACUAUGCUUGAAUAGGGUGAAGCCAGAGGAAACUCUGGUGGAGGCUCGCAGCGGUUCUGACGUGCAAAUCGAUCGUCAAAUUUGGGCAUAGGGGCGAAAGACUAAUCGAACUAUCUAGU
This 893-nucleotide ribosomal RNA is filed under the name Plenodomus tracheiphilus. RNAcentral's name for it is "partial large subunit ribosomal RNA". It matches the Rfam family "Eukaryotic large subunit ribosomal RNA", at positions 38 to 948 of the family's 3401-position model. The record is from RNAcentral. Lineage: Eukaryota; Fungi; Ascomycota; Dothideomycetes; Pleosporales; Leptosphaeriaceae.